AGUGAACGCUGGCGGCAGGCCUAACACAUGCAAGUCGAGCGGCAGCGCGGGGGCAACCCUGGCGGCGAGCGGCGGACGGGUGAGGAAUUCGUCGGAAUCUGCCUUUUUGUGGGGGAUAACGUAGGGAAACUUACGCUAAUACCGCAUACGUCCUACGGGAGAAAGUGGGGGACCGCAAGGCCUCACGCAGAAAGAUGAGCCGACGACCGAUUAGCUAGUUGGUGGGGUAAAGGCCCACCAAGGCGACGAUCGGUAGCUGGUCUGAGAGGAUGAUCAGCCACACUGGGACUGAGACACGGCCCAGAAUCCUACGGGAGGCAGCAGUGGGGAAUAUUGGACAAUGGGCGCAAGCCUGAUCCAGCCAUGCCGCGUGUGUGAAGAAGGCCUUCGGGUUGUAAAGCACUUUUGUCCGGAAAGAAAUCCCUGGAGCUAAUACCUUCGGGGGAUGACGGUACCGGAAGAAUAAGCACCGGCUAACUUCGU
This 483-nucleotide ribosomal RNA is filed under the name uncultured bacterium. Its description in RNAcentral is "partial 16S ribosomal RNA". It matches the Rfam family "Bacterial small subunit ribosomal RNA", at positions 29 to 506 of the family's 1533-position model. The record is from RNAcentral.